UGCAGUCGAGCGCACUCUUCGGAGUGAGCGGCGGACGGGUUAGUAACGCGUGGGAACGUACCCAGAUCUACGGAAUAGCCUCGGGAAACUGAGAGUAAUACCGUAUACGCCCUUCGGGGGAAAGAUUUAUCGGAUUUGGAUCGGCCCGCGUUAGAUUAGAUAGUUGGUGAGGUAACGGCUCACCAAGUCUACGAUCUAUAGCUGGUUUUAGAGGAUGAUCAGCAACACUGGGACUGAGACACGGCCCAGACUCCUACGGGAGGCAGCAGUGGGGAAUCUUGGACAAUGGGCGCAAGCCUGAUCCAGCCAUGCCGCGUGAGUGAUGAAGGCCUUAGGGUCGUAAAGCUCUUUCGCCAGAGAUGAUAAUGACAGUAUCUGGUAAAGAAACCCCGGCUAACUCCGUGCCAGCAGCCGCGGUAAUACGGAGGGGGUUAGCGUUGUUCGGAAUUACUGGGCGUAAAGCGCACGUAGGCGGAUCAGAAAGUAUAGGGUGAAAUCCCAGGGCUCAACCCUGGAACUGCCUUAUAAACUCCUGGUCUUGAGUUCGAGAGAGGUGAGUGGAAUUCCGAGUGUAGAGGUGAAAUUCGUAGAUAUUCGGAGGAACACCAGUGGCGAAGGCGGCUCACUG
This 628-nucleotide ribosomal RNA is filed under the name uncultured bacterium. RNAcentral's name for it is "bacterial SSU rRNA". It matches the Rfam family "Bacterial small subunit ribosomal RNA", at positions 56 to 731 of the family's 1533-position model. The record is from RNAcentral.